UCGCAAGUCCCCUUUUGUUCCUCAGAUGGGUGAUGAGGUGAUGUACUUUCGUCAGGGUCAUGAAGCUUACAUUGAAGCUGUCAGAAGAAAUAACAUUUAUGAACUGAACCCUAAUAAGGAGCCGUGGAGAAAAAUGGAUCUUCGGGAUCAAGAAUUGGUCAAAAUAGUUGGACUAAGGUAUGAGGUUGGACCACCUACGCUCUGUUGCCUCAAACUAGCAUUUAUAGAUCCAGCAACUGGCAGACUGACGGAUAAAUCUUUCUCUAUUAGAUAUCAUGAUAUGCCAGAUGUUAUUGAUUUUCUUGUGUUGCGCCAAUUUUAUGAUGAAGCAAGACAGAGAAACUGGCAGCCUAGCGACAGAUUUCGAUCUAUAAUUGAUGAUGCUUGGUGGUUUGGAACUGUGUUGAGUCAAGAGCCAUAUCAACCACAGUAU
RNAcentral lists this long non-coding RNA (433 nucleotides) under Rattus norvegicus (Norway rat). RNAcentral describes it as "long non-coding RNA NONRATT006913". The record is from RNAcentral. Lineage: Eukaryota; Metazoa; Chordata; Mammalia; Rodentia; Muridae.